This 253-nucleotide ribosomal RNA is filed under the name uncultured bacterium. Its description in RNAcentral is "partial 16S ribosomal RNA". It matches the Rfam family "Bacterial small subunit ribosomal RNA", at positions 524 to 776 of the family's 1533-position model. The record is from RNAcentral.
UACGAAGGGGGCUAGCGUUGUUCGGAAUCACUGGGCGUAAAGGGCGCGUAGGCGGCUUUAUAAGUCGGGGGUGAAAGCCUGUGGCUCAACCACAGAAUUGCCUUCGAUACUGUAGAGCUUGAGACCGGAAGAGGUAAGUGGAACUCCGAGUGUAGAGGUGAAAUUCGUAGAUAUUCGGAAGAACACCAGUGGCGAAGGCGGCUCACUGGUCCGGUACUGACGCUGAGGUGCGAAAGCGUGGGGAGCAAACAGG